UCAGAGGGCUGUGUUCCUGGCUCACCAAUGAUCACCUCAUGCUGUGACCUCACAUGGUCUUUCCUCAUGUUGGAGGGAGUACUAAGUUUUUGGCUGCAGUUCCAUGGAAAUGGAAAAUUAUGUACCAGCCACUGUGAUGAGGAGGAAACAAGGGAGGAAAUUCUUCUGCUAGAGCAACACCUGUGGAAGUCCCAUCAUUUUUUAUAAAAGCAAUUUUCCAGUCUGUUUCCACACCAACUCAUCUGAAGACUGUGAGUUCUCCAGGGAAAGUACCCAGCUCAGGAUGUCUCAAAUUCUGGAGUGGGCUCUGUGGCCAUCUGGGCUUGCCUAAUGAUGGCUCUGGUGCCUAGAACCUCCAGGGAGCGGGGAAUGACUGCUGGUAAGGACUGAGCAGUGCGGCGGCAUUCUGCUGUGUUGGGAUCAGCUCUGGGUGCGAAACGGCAGCACCUUUUCAAAAGCAUCCACGGACGUGCUGGAGGGACAGACCAGCAGUUAGGAGCAGCAGCUGCUCUUCCAGAGGACCUGUAUUAGCAGCUUACCACUGUCUACAACUCCAGUCCCAGGGGAUCCAACACCUUCUCUGGCUUCCAAGGGCAUUCGACACACAUGUGGUGCACAGACAUACAUGCAGACAAAACAUCCAUGUGCAUAAAUAAAAUAAAGUAUCCGUAGGAGUUAGAUCAUGCUGGAAUUUCAAUUUGAUUUGAUUUGAUUCCUAAAGAUCUCAUUCCCAGUUUUGUCCCUUUCCUCCCUCCCUCCCUCUCUCCCCCCUCCCUCUCUGUGUUACAUAGGCUAACUUCAAACUCCCCCCAAGCCAUAUAUCAAUUACUUUAAAGAAACACGCAAACUUGAUUUAGGUACAGUCCUUUGAAAAGACAGGAGCUUGAAUGGGCUAUUCCUAGACUAUAGGGGAUUUUUACUAUAAUCUUAGGGAGCUAGAUAAGCUGUCCCAGGUAAAUAUCUACCAAUGAUAAUGUUACUUAAAAAAAAAUCCAAUAUUUAUAUAUAUAUAUGUCACAAAGCUGAAAUAAAAAUUAGAAAGUGAAUCAAAUUGAUUCUUUCCAGGUUGUUGCCCAUUAUUUAUUUAUAUGUGUUUCUUAAUAAGUGGCCUGACAAUAGACACUACACUCCCAGACCUUUU
This 1141-nucleotide long non-coding RNA is filed under the name Cricetulus griseus (Chinese hamster). RNAcentral's name for it is "lncRNA (ENSCGRG00015031659.1)". Lineage: Eukaryota; Metazoa; Chordata; Mammalia; Rodentia; Cricetidae. The record is from RNAcentral.